This 252-nucleotide unclassified non-coding RNA is filed under the name plant metagenome. Its description in RNAcentral is "partial contains small subunit ribosomal RNA and internal transcribed spacer 1". The stretch from base 1 to 46 matches the Rfam family "Eukaryotic small subunit ribosomal RNA", at positions 1786 to 1831 of the family's 1831-position model. The record is from RNAcentral.
AAGUCGUAACAAGGUUUCCGUAGGUGAACCUGCGGAAGGAUCAUUAGAAUGCAAUAGUCGCACAGAUCGAGAGAUCGGGCUGCGGCCGUGGCCCUCCCUCUCGGGGGAGGGCGCCUUCUAAACCAUGUGAAAACACCCGUUGCUUCGGCGGCUGCCAGGCGGCCUCCCGCCGCCCAGGCGUCAGCCCGCCCGUAGCUCCAACAAAACCAUUUCUGUAAACUUCUGUCAGAAUACGAAAAUUAAAUCGUUAAA